RNAcentral lists this ribosomal RNA (356 nucleotides) under uncultured Glomeraceae. Its description in RNAcentral is "SSU rRNA". It matches the Rfam family "Eukaryotic small subunit ribosomal RNA", at positions 569 to 929 of the family's 1831-position model. Lineage: Eukaryota; Fungi; Glomeromycota; Glomeromycetes; Glomerales; Glomeraceae. The record is from RNAcentral.
AGCAGCCGCGGUAAUUCCAGCUCCAAUAGCGUAUAUUAAAGUUGUUGCAGUUAAAAAGCUCGUAGUUGAAUUUCGGGGUCAGUAGAUUGGUCGUGCCACUGGUAUGUACUGGUCUCACUGGCUCCUCCUUCCUGAUGAACCGUAAUGCCAUUAAUUUGGUGUUGCGGGGAGACUGGACUGUUACUUUGAAAAAAUUAGAGUGUUUAAAGCAGGCUAACGCUUGAAUACAUUAGCAUGGAAUAAUGUAAUAGGACGUUCGAUCUUAUUUUGUUGGUUUCUAAGAUUGACGUAAUGAUUAAUAGGGAUAGUUGGGGGCAUUAGUAUUCAAUUGUCAGAGGUGAAAUUCUUGGAUUUAU